Molecule: unclassified non-coding RNA, 209 nt
Filed under: plant metagenome
Description: partial contains small subunit ribosomal RNA, internal transcribed spacer 1, and 5.8S ribosomal RNA
Source: RNAcentral
UCUCCGUUGGUGAACCAGCGGAGGGAUCAUUACUGGAAUCGCAAGAUCCCACAACCCUGUGAACCUACCGAAACGUUGCCUCGGCGGGUGCCCGGCCCCCGCGCCGGGCGCUGCGCCCGCCGGCGGCCCCCUACGCUGUCUCUGCAGCGUGGCAUCUCAGAGUCCCAGAAAACAAGUCAAAACUUUCAACAACGGAUCUCUUGGCUCUG